GUAUCACCUGUAAUGCAGACAGUGCUAUCUAUCAUCAAGGCCUUCAGAAACAUUCCUGCAAUUAUUCUACUCAAUAUAAGCAAACUGAACAUUUUGAAACUUGCUCCUGGUGGGUAUGUGGGACGUUUCUGCGUUUGGAUCAAAAGUGUUUUUGGAAGUUAGACAUAACCGUAUGGCACUUGGCUUAAGGCUGCUUCCCUCAAGAGUAAGUAUAACCUCCCUUUGUACAACAUGAUCAAUACAGACGUUAGCAGAAUCUUGGAAAGUCC
This 269-nucleotide long non-coding RNA is filed under the name Marmota monax (woodchuck). Lineage: Eukaryota; Metazoa; Chordata; Mammalia; Rodentia; Sciuridae. The record is from RNAcentral.